GACGUAGGGCGCGAGCGUUGUCCGGAUUUAUUGGGCGUAAAGAGCCGUAGAGCGGCUUGUCGCGUCAACUGUGAAAACCCGUGGCUCAACCAUGUGGUCUGCAGUCGAUACGGGCAGGCUAGAAUUCGGUAGGGGAGACUGGAAUUCCUGGUGUAGCGGUGAAAUGCGCAGAUAUCAGGAGGAACACCGGUGGCGAAGGCGGGUCUCUGGGCCGAUAUUGACGCUGAGGAGCGAAAGCGUGGGGAGCGAACAGG
Molecule: ribosomal RNA, 254 nt
Filed under: uncultured bacterium
Lineage: Bacteria
Description: partial 16S ribosomal RNA
Rfam family: Bacterial small subunit ribosomal RNA
Source: RNAcentral